GAGUGGGGCUGGCGUCGGGAGACCGAGAUGGAAAGAUGUCCGAGAUCAAGAAGAAGAUCCGGUCAAUCCUUCCCGGCGGGGACUGGAAUCCACUGUACGACACCAGCUACCUGCCCCCUGAGAGCUCGGAUGUGGUGAUUGUGGGGGGUGGGGUGCUUGGCCUGUCUGUGGCCUAUUGGCUGAAGAAGUUGGAGAAGCCACGAGGUGCCAUUCGAGUGCUGGUGGUGGAACGGGACCACACGUAUUCCCGGGCCUCCACUGUGCUUUCCGUGGGCGGGAUUCGUCAGCAGUUCUCGGUGCCUGAGAACGUCCAGCUCUCCCUCUUUUCAAUUGACUUUCUACGGAACAUCAAUGAGUACCUGGCUGUAGCUGAUGACCCUCCCCUGGACAUCCAGUUCAACCCAUCAGGUUAUCUCUUGCUGGCUUCAGAAAAGGGUGCUGCCAUCAUGGAGAACAACGUGAAGGUGCAGAGGUGGGUGGGGUGCCUGGCACGACCACCCAGCUGCUGCUCAGCUGUGUGCACGUAGCAAGCUCCGACACCAAGUUAGGAACUGAGAAACCCGGUGGGGCGGGGAUGGGGAGGGGGGUUGAUGAGACAGGUCCCCGCUGUGUAGGAGCUCUGACAGGAGUCUGUCAGGAAGCACAGACACACGCAGACCUCCAGUACCCUGUGCUAAGUGCUCGAACAUGGAUACAGACAACACACUGCUGCGGUGGUUCCUAAAUCGGCCAGAUCACAAAAACCACCCGGGAAAUCCCAGACCUAAUAAGCCAGAGGCUCUAGGGAAGGGCCCAGGAAUCUGCAGACUUUUCCUGCAAGGGCCAGAUAGUACACAUUUUAGGCUUCGGGGGCCAUAUGGACUCUGCUGCCAUCAUUCAGCUUUGUAGUUGAAACAGAAGCAGCCAGGGACAAGAUAUAGGCAAAAAUAGAAAUGAAUCAGUGUGACUCAGGUACAAAAAUGCAGCAGGCUGGUUGGGGCAAGCCCUCUCCUAAGUGAGUCUCGUGAUCGGUCAGGAGCAUGUGUCUAUAACAGUCUUGCGGGUCUCACUAGGGACAUCGGGUAAUGUCCCAGAUGCAGUACUUUUUCAUUUAGUCACCAACACAUCCCCAUUUCACAUGUGGGUAAACCGAGGCACGAGGUAGCUAGCAAGUGGUGGCACUGGGAUUUGAACCAGGCAGUCGGGCUUGCGAGUGUGUUGUUUUAGGAUCUGUGUUGCUGCCUUUCGAGGACAGUGUCCCAUAGGAGAUAAUUGUGCUAGUGAGCAGGACUGUACUAGAAGGUAGACAGGAAGGUCAUUCCAGGCAGAAGGGAAGGAGACAAGCAGAAGGGACACAGUGGUCUGCCCUGUUGUGAAAGGAUACAGGAUAGUUAGGGGAUGAGAGGGAGUUUAGUGUGGUCAAAGGGAUACCAGGGGGUAGGAAAGGAAAGAGGGGUCAGCUGAAGAGCCAUGACUAGGACGCUUGGCCUUUACACGUUCAACAGGGAGGAAAACUUGGGGGUUUGGGGCAGAGAAGUUACGUGAAUGAAUCGGAAUCCCCACUUGUGGAGUCGGGGUCCAUACUUCGCCUUCUCUGCACAGUCCUCGCCUCUGACACACAGGCACACAGUCACGCAUUUCUCUCAGGCAGGAAGGAGCCAAAGUUUGCCUGAUGUCUCCUGAGCAGCUUCGGAACAAAUUUCCCUGGAUAAACACAGAGGGCGUGGCUUUGGCAUCUUAUGGUAAAACGUGCUUGCAGAGGGGAUCAGGGGUUGAGGGGCACCUCAACGUUGGAAGUCUCAGCAUCCUGUAACCCGCCUCUAGAAGCAGUGCUUCCCCCCGGGCCAGCAGAGCCUCCCUCGGACCCUGCUAGCUCUCUGUCCUUCCACAGGAUUUCACUCUGGUACACUUGGUCAACCUGAACCUUCCCUGGCUUCCCUAAAGAGGAGUUGGGGGCACAGGAAAUCCAACAGGAGAGGAGGGUCCUAAUCCCACCUCCUGAGUCCUCUUUCUUAUCACAGGGAUGGAACACGAAGGUUGGUUUGACCCCUGGUGUCUGCUCCAGGGGCUUCGGCGAAAGGUCCAGUCCAUGGGGGUCCUCUUCUGCCGCGGAGAGGUGACACGUGAGUCUGAGGCCCCGUGCCCACUGCUCCUUCCCUCUGCCAGCUGGGGCACAGGCCUAGAUGGGGUCUUAUCUUCACUCACGGGCUAAGCAAGGGUUGGUGGGGAAUGGGGUUCUCCCUGCGGCCUGGUCCUGAGCAUCCUGACUCCAGCUCCUAAGUAGGCUUUCUCAGGACUCGUGUUGCACGCGAAGGUUUCAGCUUGCUCCCAUUUUGCAUGCAGUCAAGGUCAUCUUGGUUACCCCAUAUCUGUUUGCGGGAAAGCUCCGGUCUUCCAGGUUGCUUUCCUAAUGAAGUCCACGGAAUCCCAGUCUCGUCUUCUUCAGGCCUCGGGCACUUCUUUUCUUUUUCCUGCAGGUUUCGUGUCUUCGUCUAACCUCAUGAAGACUGCAAGUGGGGAAGAAGUGAAUUUGAAAAGGAUCCACGAAGUUCAUGUAAGUUGCCAGCCUGUGCAUCUUCCUUACCAAAGUGCAAGGGUGGAAAAGGUAACGGCUGUCAUUUUGGUCUUUCUCUACCCACUUCCAGUCUGAGUAAACUAAGGCUCGGGAAGAAAUGUACCUCUCACAGGGCCCGGUAUGUGGGCCAGGCCCUCCUUCCCCUCCCCUUCUGGUGCCUUCAGGUGAAGAUAGACCAAAGCCUGGAGUACCAGCCCGUGGAAUGUGCCAUAGUGAUCAACGCAGCAGGGGCCUGGUCUGGCCAGGUUGCAGAGCUGGCUGGCAUUGGGAAGGGGCCACCUGGCACCCUCCAGGGCACCAAGCUACCUGUGGAGCUGAGAAAAAGGUACGUGUACUUGUGGCACUGCCCCCAGGGACCAGGCCUGGAGACCCCGUUCGUUAUAGACCCCAGUGGAACCUAUUUCCGCCGAGAAGGAUUAGGCCAUAACUACCUGGGUGGCUGUAGCCCCACUGAGGAGGAGGAACCGGAUCCAGGGAACCUGGAGGUGGACCAUGAUUUCUUCCAGGACAGGGUGUGGCCCCCUUUGGCCCAGAGGGUACCGGCUUUUGAAACUCUGAAGGUUCGGAGCGCUUGGGCCGGCUAUUACGACUACAACACCUUUGACCAGAAUGGCGUGGUGGGUCCUCACCCACUGGUCAUCAACAUGUAUUUUGCCACGGGCUUCAGUGGCCACGGGCUCCAGCAGGCCCCUGCCGUGGGGCGAGCUGUGGCGGAGAUGGUGCUGGAGGGCCACUUCCAGACCAUCAACCUGAGCUCCUUCCUCUUCAGCCGCUUUUACUCGGGAGAGAAGGUCCAGGAGCACAACAUCAUCUGAGCCUGUAAGCUCUUCGCUGGGCCCCGCCGCCCUGUCCGCCCCCCGUGGCCUCCCUACACUCUCCUGUCCCCACAGGGCUGGGCGGGCAGGCCGACUACAGGCUGUGAGGCCCAGGCCAACAGAGAGUGUUGGAGGGAGAGACCCCAGGACUGACGGCCCGGGCUGAGGCCACCCGCCAAGGCAGUGCAGCCGGACAGAAUACCUGAGCACGUGGCCCAAGACUGCCUUCUUCCUGGUUCUGAGCCAGCAAGAUCACCUAUGCCCCUCUUGGCAGGCUACCCUGGAGCCUGGGCAGGGAGCCUUCCAGGGCGGCUGGUGCAGAUUUAGUGACCGUUUACCUACUCAUCAAUCAAUAAAUGUUAUUACUCUUUCCACUCA
Molecule: RNA transcript, 3747 nt
Organism: Lynx canadensis (Canada lynx)
Lineage: Eukaryota; Metazoa; Chordata; Mammalia; Carnivora; Felidae
Gene: FOXRED1
Gene name: FAD dependent oxidoreductase domain containing 1
Exons: 7
Source: RefSeq, a predicted model, not a curated record